This 444-nucleotide ribosomal RNA is filed under the name uncultured bacterium. RNAcentral's name for it is "bacterial SSU rRNA". It matches the Rfam family "Bacterial small subunit ribosomal RNA", at positions 30 to 507 of the family's 1533-position model. The record is from RNAcentral.
AUUGAACGCUGGCGGUAUGCUUAAGACAUGCAAGUCGAACGGUAACAGACCUUCGGGUGCUGACGAGUGGCGGACGGGUGAGUAACACGUGGGAAUCUACCUUGUAGUGGGGGAUAAGCCAGGGAAACUUGGACUAAUACCGCAUACGCCCUAAGGGGGAAAGGAGCAAUUCGCUAUAAGAUGAGCCCGCGUCUGAUUAGCUAGUUGGUGAGGUAAAGGCUCACCAAGGCGACGAUCAGUAGCUGGUCUGAGAGGAUGACCAGCCACAUUGGGACUGAGACACGGCCCAGACUCCUACGGGAGGCAGCAGUCGGGAAUAUUGGACAAUGGGGGCAACCCUGAUCCAGCAAUACCGCGUGUGUGAAGAAGGCCUGCGGGUUGUAAAGCACUUUUAGUAGGGAAGAUAAUGACGUUACCUACAGAAAAGCACCGGCUAACUCCGUG